Molecule: ribosomal RNA, 497 nt
Filed under: uncultured bacterium
Lineage: Bacteria
Description: partial 16S ribosomal RNA
Rfam family: Bacterial small subunit ribosomal RNA
Source: RNAcentral
GAUGAACGCUGGCGGCGUGCCUAAUACAUGCAAGUCGAGCGAACGGACGAGAAGCUUGCUUCUCUGAUGUUAGCGGCGGACGGGUGUGUAACACGUGGAUAACCUACCUAUAAGACUGGGAUAACUUCGGGAAACCGGAGCUAAUACCGGAUAAUAUUUUGAACCGCAUGGUUCAAAAGUGAAAGACGGUCUUGCUGUCACUUAUAGAUGGAUCCGCGCUGCAUUAGCUAGUUGGUAAGGUAACGGCUUACCAAGGCAACGAUGCAUAGCCGACCUGAGAGGGGGAUCGGCCACACUGGAACGGAGACACGGUCCAGACGCCUGCGGGAGGCAGCAGUAGGGAAUCUUCCGCAAUGGGCGAGAGCCUGACGGAGCAACGCCGCGUGAGUGAUGAAGGUCUUCGGAUCGUAAAACUCUGUUAUUAGGGAAGAACAUAUGUGUAAGUAACUGUGCACAUCUUGACGGUACCUAAUCAGAAAGCCACGGCUAACUACGUG